GCAGGAGGAUUGCUUGAGCCUAGGAGUUUGAGACCAGCCUGGGGAACACGGCAAGACUGCAUCUCUACAAAAAUACCAAAAUUAAUCAGCCAUGGUGGCACACGCCUGGGUUCGCACCAGCUACUGGGAAGGCUGAGGCAAGAGGAUUGCUUGAGCCCGGGAGGUCAAGGCUGCAGUGAGCCAUGUUCACACCACUGUAUCCUAACCUGGGUGACAGACUUUAGGAGACAGGAUGUCUGAGGUCAGAAGAUCCCCCUGAUGACCAAACCAGUUAAGACUGAUGAGAUUCAAGAUCCAGCUCACUUGGCCUUUGAAGAACCUCUAACUUCAUUAUAAUUUAUUUUCCAUACUAAAUGACACUCCCACCAGUGCCAUGACAGUUUAUAAUCACCAUGACAAUGACCAGAAGAAAUUAUGAAAGGACGAAAAGGAAGACCACAACUCCGGUUCUGA
This 453-nucleotide long non-coding RNA is filed under the name Pan troglodytes (chimpanzee). RNAcentral's name for it is "long non-coding RNA NONPTRT015608". The record is from RNAcentral. Lineage: Eukaryota; Metazoa; Chordata; Mammalia; Primates; Hominidae.